GGCUUGGCAUUUUGUUAUCUUUGUCAAAAGAUAUCUCAUACCCCACAUGGCACACGCUCUUAUCUUUCAGGAUCAGAUGCUCUCUGUCUGCUUCUUGAAUCAUGUUUACGAAUGUUGCCCUUCCACAAGUGGAGAACAGCAGUGCCCUUAUGACGUUGCUACUUCAGGCCUGCCGGCAAGACUUCGGUUCCUCGGCCUCCUGCCCCAUCUUUUAUGGAUCUCAGGAACUGCCUGUGAGGCAGGUUUCAGUGGGGCUGGCGUACAACCCUGCUCACAGAACAGUACAUUGUACAUCCUGUGCUGAAGAGUUAAUUUCCCUGCUAGCUGCUCUGCCACACCUAAGGCGAACUUUCUCCCCAAGCAGCAGGAGUCAGAGGCUGCACCCAGAGAGCACCCUGGAAAACAGAGGAGCAGCAGUAUACAUCACCAGAGGCUGCAGGAGAAUACUGGAAGCAGAGGAUGGGAUCUGCCGCCUGUACCAUGCAGCAAUCAGAGCUAUCCCUACUUGUUCUUUUGAGAUAAAACACACUUUUUAAUGCUUAGAUUUUAAUUACCUUUCUACUCAAUGUACAGGCUUGUAGAGGAGCCCACCCUGUUUUGUAUUUUCUUUAAAGGAUCCAUAAGUUCAAUACGAUGAGACCUAGCUUAGUAAAGAUAAGGAAAGGUUUCCCCAGGGAUGCUGUGGCAUGAAAGAGGUUUCUGUCAUGAUAUGGUCAUUCUAACAAAGCAGAGCAAUACAUGAGGGUUUCUCACCUUUAACUUGUUGGCAUUAUACAGCACAGACCUUCCACUAAUUGUUACAAAUUCAGAAUAAGAAAAAAUAAAUGAAAAACAGAAGUUGAAAUUGUGAGUUAAUGAGAGCAAAAUGUGGAGUGGGCUGCAGCAUUCUGUUUGUUAAAUACUGUUGUUCCUGGAUCAAAGAGAGUGAGGUAUCUAGCAAUUAUUUAAACCUGUUUUAAAACUUCCUUCAAGAAAAUUUACUAAGAGACCUCCUUCUCAUAUCACGAAUGGAUUUGUGGAAAGAUGUUUACCCCUCAGAAAGCCUCAUAGUUUGGCUUAUUACAGAGACAAAAAUCAAUAACAUGCAAACUCUCACCAGUGUUUUUCUCUUUAGGAUGAUUUAAAGGUUAACAAACUGUUUCCUUAACAGUUUUGAGGCUGGUGUCAUAGAAUCAUAGAAGCAUAGAAUGUCCUGGGUUGAAAAGGACCACAAUGAUCAUUGAGUUUCAACCCCCCUGCUAUGUGCAGGGUCACCAACCACCAGACCAGGCUGCCCAGAGCCACAUCCAGCCUGGCCUUGAAUGCCUCCAGGGAUGGGGCAUCCACAGCCUCCUUGGGCAACCUGUUCAGUGCGUCACCACCCUCUGGGUGAAAAACUUCCUCCUAAUAUCUAACCUAAGCAUCCCCUGUCUCAGUUUAAGACCAUUCCCCCUUGUCCUAUCACUAUCCACCCUUGUAAACAGCCGUUCCCCAUCCUGUUUAUACGCUUCCUUCAAGUACUGGAAGGCCACAAUGAGGUCUCCACAGAGCCUUCUCUUCUCCAGGCUGGUAGGUAGGGUGGUGUUCUGAUUACAAGGAUGAAACCCUGAAGAAGCUGAAGGAAGCUGAAGAAGUAUUUCCUUGUUUCUCAGGAAAUCCCUGUGGUCUGUUGUUAUGAACGUCUCUGUAUCCAACAAAGUACAGCAUUGGCUGGAACAGCGCAGGGUAAAACAAGCUGUGGCGAGCUGACUACCUAUUUGUUCAGACACCACACUAGGGAAAUAUAUUAUGCAGGAAAAAUAAAAGUAAUGGUUAUUUUUAAGGAAAUGCCAAGUUUUAGAGGGAAAACAGUAGCCUCAGCCUAAGAAAGAUUCUCAACUCUCUCCUCUGGAGAUAGUUAGACAAAAUAAAAAAUAAUCUAUCUUCCUGCCUAUGACUUCGUUCUGUAGUUACUGAAGUAAAGAGCAAUAUUCCCAUUAACCAAAGUUGUACAAUUAUGAGUCUUGACUGCCUUAGAGAUAAGCCAUCAAUCUUCUCUCUGCUAAACAAAGGAGCUUACAAUCCCCUUUCAAGAUUAUUAACAUUUAUGUACCAGGAUAGAUAGGCCAUUUCUGGAAGCAACAGAGAAGAGCACAAAGGGUUUGGGGCAAAAUGUAUCACUCAGAUGAUUUGACAAGAACCCCUCAUCAGUCAAAGGCAUGGGCCAAUGAUUUUACAUACAUACCUUGCCAGUAAGGCAUUUAGUUUUCUUUCAAUCUUAAUAAUUCAUAGCACAAAAAAAUUAGAUUCCUAAAUAACACCGCUCCUUCUAAAUGGAAACUAUUUAAAAAUAGGUUAAAAAUAUUAAAAUUUAUUAGAAAUAAAUUCCUUACAUAGAUUGUACGUGGAAAUAUAAUAUUGAAGUGGUCCUCUGCAGUCAAACCUGAGGCUACUUAUGUAUUGACUGCCUGUAUCAGCACACAGCUUGUCACAAAAGCAAGACCUUAUGAUGAAAACAGUGGAUCAUUUCUGCUGCCUUUUCUCCAGUAAGACUGCCAUUUGCUUUCAAUAAAAGACUGCCUGAGUAAAGACAAUAGAAGAAGGUCCCAUAUUUGAAAAACAAGAGCAAACGCAAGUAAAUAGGAACCAGGAAUAAAGGAGAAAGACCCAAAAAACAAAACAAACAGCAACAACAACAACAACAAAAACAGAACAAGAAGAGCAGGGGGAAAUAAACAGUUUAAUGAGACUGGGAGUGUGGAGAUUAUGUCAGUUUUCAUGCUAGUUUUAAAGUCAAAUUAAGAAGAAAACAAUAACUUUUAUGUGAAAUAUAUGUAUACGGGUAGAUGCAAUUUGGCAUAUCGCGCUUUCCUCAGUACACAUAGGGGUUAUCAGCCUUGUUUGGGUUUAGAAGGCCUACAGAGAUGCUCCUCAGUGUGAAGUGCUUGAAUAAAUCACAUUAUCUUAUUUACUAGGCUGCGUUUUCUCCUCUAUUUUGUCUUACAGGCUGAGUUUGUGUGCCUCACGCUUAGCUUCACCAUACCUCUUCUCUAAAACAGUAACUUCUAAAGACGGUUUCCAUUUAUUUCUAGAGUUGCAGGGAAUAUUCAUGGCAUGAGUGGGCAGAACUUUGAUUCUGGUAAAUAUUUAGUAACACAAAAGGAAAUUUAAAAAAAAAAAGGCUACAGAGCCUUUUCCAUUUGUUUAUCAGAGCUGUAGUCACAAGUACUUUCCUCAGUGUAUACUGAAUCAAAAAUGCAUUAAGGAUACACAUUAACACCUUCCAGGAUAACAGUGCCCAUUCUCCCUGAUAGUCCUUUCGGGAGGACCACCACAAAUGUCCUAUUCUGUGUCGUUUUGCCUCCUAGCUGCAUGUCUCCUUUGGAAAUUGAUGGA
This 3354-nucleotide long non-coding RNA is filed under the name Gallus gallus (chicken). RNAcentral's name for it is "lncRNA (ENSGALG00010004469.1)". The record is from RNAcentral. Lineage: Eukaryota; Metazoa; Chordata; Aves; Galliformes; Phasianidae.